AAAUGCGAUAAGUAAUGUGAAUUGCAGAAUCCAGUGAAUCAUCGAAUCUUUGAACGCACAUUGCGCCCGCCAGCAUUCUGGCGGGCAUGCCUGUUCGAGCGUCAUUUCAACCCUCGACCUCCCCUUGGGGAGGUCGGCGUUGGGGACCGGCAGCACACCGCCGGCCCUGAAAUGGAGUGGCGGCCCGUCCGCGGCGACCUCUGCGUAGUAAUACAGCUCGCACCGGAACCCCGACGCGGCCACGCCGUAAAACACCCAACUUCUGAACGUUGACCUCGAAUCAGGUAGGACUACCCGCUGAACUUAAGC
RNAcentral lists this unclassified non-coding RNA (309 nucleotides) under plant metagenome. RNAcentral's name for it is "partial contains 5.8S ribosomal RNA, internal transcribed spacer 2, and large subunit ribosomal RNA". The stretch from base 1 to 104 matches the Rfam family "5.8S ribosomal RNA", at positions 51 to 154 of the family's 154-position model. The record is from RNAcentral.